This 368-nucleotide ribosomal RNA is filed under the name uncultured organism. Its description in RNAcentral is "bacterial SSU rRNA". It matches the Rfam family "Bacterial small subunit ribosomal RNA", at positions 526 to 896 of the family's 1533-position model. The record is from RNAcentral.
CGGAGGGUGCAAGCGUUAUCCGGAUUCACUGGGUUUAAAGGGUGUGUAGGCGGGCUGUUAAGUCAGUGGUGAAAUCUCAAGGCUCAACCUUGAAACUGCCAUUGAUACUAUCAGUCUUGAAUCUUGUUGAGGUGGGCGGAAUAUAUCAUGUAGCGGUGAAGUGCUUAGAUAUGAUAUAGAACACCGAUUGCGAAGGCAGCUCACUAAGCAAGUAUUGACGCUGAGGCACGAAAGCGUGGGGAUCAAACAGGAUUAGAUACCCUGGUAGUCCACGCCCUAAACGAUGAUUACUCGACAUACGUGAUACACUAUGUGUGUCUGAGCGAAAGCAUUAAGUAAUCCACCUGGGAAGUACGUCCGCAAGGAUG